GAUGAAGAACGUAGCGAAAUGCGAUAAGUAAUGUGAAUUGCAGAAUUCAGUGAAUCAUCGAAUCUUUGAACGCACAUUGCGCCCCUUGGUAUUCCGGGGGGCAUGCCUGUCCGAGCGUCAUUGCUGCCUCAAGCACGGCUUGUGUGUUGGGCCUCCGUCCUCCUCCCGGGGGACGGGCCCGAAAGGCAGCGGCGGCACCGCGUCCGGUCCUCGAGCGUAUGGGGCUUCGUCACCCGCUCUUGUAGGCCCGGCCGGCGCUUGCCGACACAUCAAUCUUUUUUCCAGGUUGACCUCGGAUCAGGUAGGGAUACCCGCUGAACUUAAGCAUAUCAAUAAGCGGAGGA
RNAcentral lists this unclassified non-coding RNA (344 nucleotides) under soil metagenome. RNAcentral's name for it is "partial contains 5.8S ribosomal RNA, internal transcribed spacer 2, and large subunit ribosomal RNA". The stretch from base 1 to 120 matches the Rfam family "5.8S ribosomal RNA", at positions 35 to 154 of the family's 154-position model. The record is from RNAcentral.